GUGUCUCCGUCUAGUUUACACACUGACUCUGGCAUUAUAUUCUUAAACUAUAAAGUCUUCCAUUUAUGCCCAUUCCGAAAGCCUAAGCAAACAAAACUAGUCUAAGAAACGGCCAGUUUACUCUGGAAAUCUGAUCCUCUCCUUGCCCAGGAACCACAUGGAUGUCAAGGAGCUCACAUGUCAGUUCUCCCUCUGUACCCAACAGCCCCUGGACUUUGGGAGAAGGCCUGUCUUUUCUUUGGAGUUUAGUUUUCUCCUUUUUUAAAAAAUGAGGCGCUAGACAAACAGCCCAACGCCGUUUAGCUGUAAAUGCUGUUUUGCAAGGCUGAAAGAUCUGAGACUGUGUGUGCCAAGAGGGCUUCAACAUCAUACCUCAUGUGGACUAAUGUACUUAAGGUUCAUCAGAGGACCUGGAACCUGCUUAGGAGCACAAGUUGAUUCCCAACGAUCCUUGAACAAGUCCUGCCACCUCCUGCCCCCAAUGGGUUUUUACAGUUUCCGUUAGAAGUUGUGGGUUGAGCUAAUUAAUAAAGAAUAGGAUUCUGUGAGCUAGUACAACUUCAGGUUUAUCUGAUUUCAUGUGCCGGCCUCCCUGUUCCACAACCCAUAAUUUUUCCCCUCAUAUAUGUUUUAUAAUUGAUGUUUCAGGAAUUUAAAAGACAAGUUUAAGGCUUUCACUAAGGCUAAGGUUCCUUCACUUUCAUUAGUAACACAUUGGCCAGGAUGUGUUGUAGGGACAGAAGCAGUUUCAAAAUUGCUGCCUCAGUCACGGUGCCUGCAAGUGACUUAGCCUGGGUGUUGUGACUGUCCCCAAAGGUACACUUACGGUGGUAUGUCACUCCCCAUUUUUCCCCCCAUGCCUCAGCUGGGUCGCAUUUCCUAUUUCACAGCUAUAAGUCAGGUUCUGGAUACCGUUCAGGGAAUACAGGUGCAGUAUGCUUAAUGCAACAGGGGUAUUUCAUUUCUAUGACCAUUUACAUCCGUGAGGAUUUUGUAAGCACCAUUUAAAAUUAUCCAAAGGGUGCUCUCUCUGUAACUUGAUGCUUUUCACAAAGCAGAAGACCUUUUGAAAACAUGACAUUAUUUCCUACUUUCUGAGUUCUAAUUUCAGGUUUUCCUGAACUAAUUUUAAAAAACGAUGGAGGCUCUCUCGUUCUUUUACAUUUGUCGAGCAGGCUCCACACCCACACAGGAGCC
Molecule: long non-coding RNA, 1197 nt
Filed under: Sus scrofa (pig)
Lineage: Eukaryota; Metazoa; Chordata; Mammalia; Artiodactyla; Suidae
Description: lncRNA (ENSSSCG00005038846.1)
Source: RNAcentral